This 737-nucleotide long non-coding RNA is filed under the name Apteryx rowi (Okarito brown kiwi). RNAcentral describes it as "lncRNA (ENSARWG00000001232.1)". Lineage: Eukaryota; Metazoa; Chordata; Aves; Apterygiformes; Apterygidae. The record is from RNAcentral.
UGAAGAAUGAAGAAACUUCUCGUUUCUCUCAUAGCAAAAUGCUCUCUCCCUUCAGAUAGUCUAAGAUCUGCAGUUGUUUCUAAGUUUUUUUGUAGAUCUACUUACCAACAACUACUGAAGAUGAAUGAAUUUAAAUACAAGUACAAUCAGCUAAGCUACACCUCCCUGAGGAGAUGAUGACAUCCCAGUGGUGUGCUGCUGUCUUGGAGUGUUUUGAAGCCCAGGUUGCUGGCCUGGUGGAAACGUUUCUGGUGGAGGUAGACAGUGCAAACUCUAUCAGUUCACAAGCAGCAUCAGAGGUGCUUCAAAAUAUGAGUCCUCACUGUUGUGAUAUGAGCCUGGGGAGUCAGAGUGAUAAUUCUCAUGCCUCUUGCUCCUGUGAAGUGAACACCUUGUUUGGAGAAGAAACGGGUCAUUUUCAGAUCAAGGAGCACUGUUCUGCAGCGUCUAGUUCUCUUUCAUAUUCCAUGGACUCCAGCGAAUCCAAAAAGAGCAAAGAUGAGGAAGAAGCCCAGUCUCAGCAUCUUCCGUCUCUUGGCCUGUGUUGCAUUUCCAGUAUUAAAACUCCAGCUUUAGUUGGGGAGGUAAAAACCUCUAAUACUGAAGUGAGACAUGACACUUAUAAAAAUCAGAAGAAGACUAGACUUGACAAUAAAGGGUUAUCUCAUCCUGUGAAAAAUACUUGCACCUUAAAGACAGGUUCUGAGAGAACGCAUUCUCCAACAUAUGCAACUUAG